Molecule: long non-coding RNA, 577 nt
Filed under: Chrysemys picta bellii (western painted turtle)
Lineage: Eukaryota; Metazoa; Chordata; Testudines; Emydidae
Description: lncRNA (ENSCPBG00000025132.1)
Source: RNAcentral
AAAAUACGACCUAAAACAUAUAUAUUUUAAAGGUUUCUUCUAUUCAUUGCUUAGCAUUUGGAGACCCUAUUAAUUUUUUCCCCUUCUCUUUUCUUGUGUAGUGUGAAGCCAUGCUCAGAGCCAUUGCCCUAAUGAGGCAGCCAUUCUAAACACGUACAGACAAAGAAGUGGUUUCCUUAGCAACGAGAGCCAUGCCAAAGCUCUCAUAACAGUUAUUUUCCCCUGUACUUGGGUUUCUUUUCAGUUUAGGUUGCCUGUUAGGCAAUGCCUCUGAACACAGCCUGACAGGCUUUUCAGAGAUUAAGUCCCCUCAGUGCAUGAAGUAAUAAAAUAUAAUUAAUGCUGUAUUUGUAUAUUUAGGUAAAGAAUGAGAAUGACAGACUGUGUGCCCUACCUGUAUCUACAUGGAAACUUAAAACAAUGGCUGAUGCAAUCUUACUAGGCAAACUGAGGAUACUUAGGUUUCAGAAUAUUCCAUGGAACAGAAAUCCCAACUUUCAACCAGCUCUUCUAUCAAGUACUUCCUCCAGGUUUGUUUUUUUACAGUAGGAGAAUAAAACACACCAUUACUAUAUCA